ACUCCUACGGGAGGCAGCAGUGGGGAAUUUUGGACAAUGGGCGCAAGCCUGAUCCAGCCAUGCCGCGUGCGGGAAGAAGGCCUUCGGGUUGUAAACCGCUUUUGUCAGGGAAGAAAGGUUCUGGCUAAUACCUGGGACUCAUGACGGUACCUGAAGAAUAAGCACCGGCUAACUACGUGCCAGCAGCCGCGGUAAUACGUAGGGUGCAAGCGUUAAUCGGAAUUACUGGGCGUAAAGCGUGCGCAGGCGGUUAUGCAAGACAGAGGUGAAAUCCCC
This 276-nucleotide ribosomal RNA is filed under the name uncultured bacterium. RNAcentral describes it as "partial 16S ribosomal RNA". It matches the Rfam family "Bacterial small subunit ribosomal RNA", at positions 335 to 604 of the family's 1533-position model. The record is from RNAcentral.